This is a long non-coding RNA of Empidonax traillii (willow flycatcher), 270 nucleotides long. RefSeq lists it as uncharacterized. The record is from RefSeq and is a predicted model, not a curated record. The transcript has 4 exons. NCBI's taxonomy places the organism in Eukaryota, Metazoa, Chordata, Aves, Passeriformes, Tyrannidae.
CAAAUUAUAAGCAAGUUUGCAAUUGGGCAACAGCUGUCCUGGGACAGGAAAAGGAAGCUUUUGACAACAGUCUCCAAAGCAGUCACGAGUAGUUUAAAACAAGAGGCAGAGGUUCAUCAAGAACAUCUUUGCUAUUAGAGUGAAAAAGAGAGUAAAGAAAACAGACACAAGGGAUGUGGACCACUGAUGAGAACAAAGCAGCUAAUGAAACUACAAAAUCUGAGUUUGCAGAGAUCCAGAGCUUUGGUUACCCAGCUACCUCAUAUCAUA